UCGAGAAUUUUUCUCAAUGGGCGAAAGCCUGAAGGAGCGACGCCGCGUGGGGGAUGAAUGCCUUCGGCCCGUAAACCCCUGUCAUUUGCGAACAAACCUCGUGAUUUAACAGAUGACGAGCUGAUUGUAGCGAAAGAGGAAGGGACGGCUAACUCUGUGCCAGCAGCCGCGGUAAUACGGAGGUCCCAAGCGUUGUUCGGAUUCACUGGGCGUAAAGGGUGCGUAGGUGGUUGGGUAAGUCUGAUGUGAAAUCUCCGGGCCUAACCCGGAAACUGCAUCGGAUACUAUUCGACUGGAGGGUUGGAGGGGGGACUGGAAUACUUGGUGUAGCAGUGAAAUGCGUAGAUAUCAAGUGGAACACCAGUGGCGAAGGCGAGUCCCUGGACAACUCCUGACACUGAGGCACGAAAGCUAGGGGAGCAAACAGGAUUAGAUACCCCCGUAGUCCCUGAGCGGGCUGGCAAGGCGCAU
This 471-nucleotide ribosomal RNA is filed under the name uncultured bacterium. Its description in RNAcentral is "bacterial SSU rRNA". It matches the Rfam family "Bacterial small subunit ribosomal RNA", at positions 355 to 825 of the family's 1533-position model. The record is from RNAcentral.